Molecule: ribosomal RNA, 253 nt
Filed under: uncultured bacterium
Lineage: Bacteria
Description: partial 16S ribosomal RNA
Rfam family: Bacterial small subunit ribosomal RNA
Source: RNAcentral
UACGUAGGGUGCGAGCGUUAAUCGGAAUUACUGGGCGUAAAGCGUGCGUAGGCGGUUCGCUGUGUCCGAUGUGAAAGCCCCGGGCUUAACCUGGGAAUGGCAUUGGAAACUGGUGGGCUUGAGUGUGGCAGAGGGGGGUGGAAUUCCGCGUGUAGCAGUGAAAUGCGUAGAGAUGCGGAGGAACACCGAUGGCGAAGGCAGCCGCCUGGACUGCACCUGACGCUGAAACGCGAAAGCUAGGGGAGCGAACGGG